UACGUAGGACGCAAGCGUUGUCCGGAAUUACUGGGCGUAAAGAGCUCGUAGGUGGUUUGUCGCGUUGUCCGUGAAAACUCACAACUCAAUUGUGGGCGUGCGGGCGAUACGGGCAGACUGGAGUACUGCAGGGGAGACUGGAAUUCCUGGUGUAGCGGUGGAAUGCGCAGAUAUCAGGAGGAACACCGGUGGCGAAGGCGGGUCUCUGGGCAGUAACUGACGCUGAGGAGCGAAAGCGUGGGGAGCGAACAGG
Molecule: ribosomal RNA, 253 nt
Filed under: uncultured bacterium
Lineage: Bacteria
Description: partial 16S ribosomal RNA
Rfam family: Bacterial small subunit ribosomal RNA
Source: RNAcentral